GAUGAACGCUAGCGAUAGGCUUAACACAUGCAAGUCGAGGGGCAGCAUGGUCUUAGCUUGCUAAGACUGAUGGCGACCGGCGCACGGGUGCGUAACGCGUAUGCAACUUGCCUCACAGAGGGGGAUAACCCGUCGAAAGACGGACUAAUACCGCGUACACUCCAUCUUGGGCAUCCAAGGUAGAGGAAAUGAAAUUCGCUGUGAGAUAGGCAUGCGUCCCAUUAGCUAGUUGGUGAGGUAACGGCUCACCAAGGCGACGAUGGGUAGGGGAACUGAGAGGUUGAACCCCCACACUGGGACUGAGACACGGACCAGACUCCUACGGGAGGCAGCAGUGAGGAAUAUUGGUCAAUGGGCGAGAGCCUGAACCAGCCAAGUCGCGUGAAGGAUGACUGUAUUAUGGAUUGUAAACUUCUUUUAUACGGGAAUAACAAGAGUCACGUGUGACUCCCUGCAUGUACCGUAUGAAUAAGCAUCGGCUAACUCCGUG
RNAcentral lists this ribosomal RNA (490 nucleotides) under uncultured bacterium. RNAcentral's name for it is "partial 16S ribosomal RNA". It matches the Rfam family "Bacterial small subunit ribosomal RNA", at positions 28 to 507 of the family's 1533-position model. The record is from RNAcentral.